Molecule: non-coding RNA, 5002 nt
Organism: Taeniopygia guttata (zebra finch)
Lineage: Eukaryota; Metazoa; Chordata; Aves; Passeriformes; Estrildidae
Source: RefSeq, a predicted model, not a curated record
GCCGGCUGUUGACAGCGUCACACCUCAGAGGAGAAGCUGCACGACAGAGGUCGCUCCGGGCCUCCACGCCUGCCGAGCCCAGGGCGGCUCCAGCCGCGCACUGUCCCGCGGCUCUGAGGGCAGCGCGGCGGAGCGUCCCCGCCCGGUGCCCUCAGGGGACCCAGAGCCGGCCCGGCCGAGGCUGUCCGGCGCCCCGGCUGCCCGGCUGCCCUCGGCUGCCCGGCUGCCCGGCGCCGUUCCGCACGCCCUCGGGCCGCCGCAGCCCGCACCGGGCCCGUGAGGGAAGGACGCUGGAGGGCCUGCACCGGGGCCCUGCCUGCAGUGCACACAGAAGACAGAGACAAAUUCUGUAGAUGCUGAUGAGCGCAAGAGAGAAGAUCAAGCCAAAAAAAGUGACAACCAGGAAUGGCAGAGGUUGAAAGUAAACCUUACUGGAAAGGCAGCAGGAGAUAGAUGUGUGCCAGGACAAAGGAAGAAGGCAGGCAAAACCGCACAGGCAAUAGACUUAACUCACAGUGCAGGAUUUUUUCCAAAUGCUAUAUCAACAAUACUGCCAUUUCUUAGCACGUGAGUGAAGGUGAGCACAGAAAGCCGCAUCAGUGUCGCCAAUAUUGCAGAGCAAGAUCUACUCAAGUGAACAGCAGUCCUCACAAGAGAAUGGAGAAAUAGCGUCAUAGGAUACAUCAAAAUCAGUUGUUACUGCAGCCCAAGAUGUCUGAUUAUGAUUUCACCAGUCAGUGCUACUGUCAAGUGGUGCUAAUAAAUGGUUACAACAAGGGAAAAAGAAACGAUGCUGCAUAAAUGAGGGAAAUGGGUACUCCUAACUACAUAGAGGAUUGUUUCCAGUCCCACCAGCUGGUCUGAAACUCACCAUUUCCAGUGAAUUCUGGAGUUGCUUCUGUAUUUUGUUCUGGCUAAAUUCUUCUUAUUUUUAGGCUCGAAAAUUCAGAGUCGAAAUACUUUCUGACUACGACUUGCGGGCCCGGGCCCUCGGGGGGAACGGGCGCCACCGGGUGGAUUGCCGAGGUACAGCCGCGAUUUGCCUCCAAGCGGAUCCAGAGUCUUGCGCUGUGUCACAGAAUCACUGAAUAUUCUCCGUUGGAAGCGACCCUCAAGGAUCAUCAAGCCUUUACGCACUUAUGUCUCAACAAUCUUUACAUUGGUCACCUGUACCUAAGGAUUAGAAUUCGGCCUUUAAAAACAUGAUGGCCUUUUGCUGAGACCACUGUCCAUCCAAUGGAGAAAUAGUCUCUCAUAGUCUCCUGUACUAUUUACUCACUACUUUGCCUGAUACUGGGGUUUAAGACCAUCUUUGAUUUUCCUUCUAUAUUAAAGCGGGAGUUAGCUCAAAAAUAUCCAAUGGGUCUUUACAGUGUAUGUAUGCUUCAUGCUACAGCUAAUAUGAAAGAAAGUAUUAUGAAGGCAUUGGCUAAAAUAGGAUGGAUCACAUGGGAAGCAUCAAUAAAGCAAGAGAAAUAUGUUCAACAGAAAACUAUAUGUCUUAGGGAAGAAAAUAUAAUAGAUCAGCAAAAGAAAAGUGUGAUUUCAAACAAUUUUUCUGUCCGGAUUUUGGAUGAGGCCUUCAUUUAUGCUCAUUAACUUUCCAAAUAGGUCCUUAAUUUUUAAAUAAUGUCUUGGAUGUGAAAAUCUAUGUGUAAAAGUUUCUUUUCAUCCAGAAGAACAGUUUGUUUCUGUGAAAACAAACUAAUUUUUCAUAUGUGAAUAUGUCUGAUUAUUAAUAGUACAGGCAAUGGUGUUUUAAGAGAAAUAAUCCUGUUUCCUGGUUUCAUGAAUAUUGAAUGAUUUUAAACCUUUUUCUGCGUAACAGCUUACAAUGACCCUCCUUAUUUUCUCAUAUGCACAGCCUAGUCAAUACUGUAAGGACAUUUUCAUAAAAGAUCGGGAGAGUUUUCCUAGAAGGAGACUGAGCUUGAUUUUUACCUCUCCCAGGCAAGGAUCAGUUGACCAUGAAGAGAUGCAGUUCUUGUAUUAUGCAGCAAAUUCCUCUUACAGAUCCAAUUAUGCAAGAAUGACACACAGGAAGUCCUGUGUUUAGCCUAAUGAUGUGUUUCCUGAGUUUCUGACUGGGGAUUUGCAUUUGUGUUCUUAAUUUACUUCCUGUAUAGGAGCAUCAAUGGCUGUUACAUCUUCAAUGCCCAGCCUGUGGGUGCUGGUUGGCAGCAGCUCAGUAGGAGUCAAAAAGGAGAUGGUCCCUCUGAGCUCACCAUUGGUGCAGCCUCACCAUGUGGUCCAUGUGCAGCAGUGGGCCCCAGCAGCUGGAGAAUGACAUGAAGGUCCUCUGGAGGAGGCAGCUGAGCUGGUGAGGGGCUAGAAGGCACAUCCUGGGAGGAGCAGCUGUGGGAUCUAGACCUGUCUGGUUAGGAGAGAAGGCAGCUGAGAGGUGACCGUGGGGCUUUUUACCAAUUCCUGAGCAAUGGACAUGGAGAGGCAGGUGCUGCGCUCUUCUCCCUGGGACUCAGGGACAAGACUUGUGGGAAUGGCUCAGAGCUGUGCCAGGAGAGGUUCAGACUAGACAUGAGGGAACAUUUCUUUACCAGGAGGGUGGUCAUAUGCUGAAACAGGUCUCCUAGAGAGGGAGUUGAUGUCCCAAGUUUUGAAGAGACAUUUGGGCAGUGACCUUAAAAACAACUCGGAUUUUUGGUCAGCCCUUGAGAAGACAGGCAGCUGUACUAGCUGGUUGUUGUAGGUUUCUUCCAACUGUAAUAGUCCAUUCUAUUUGAAACCUAUUGGCUGAGUACAAUAUCCUUGUUUUAAAAUGUCCAUCCAUUCUUUUUGGUUUUCAUAAGUAAAUUAGACGGCUAUGAAUUAGAACUAAGAUUUAGUGCAUUUAUACAAAAGCAUUAGGACUAUGUACAUUUAAAUAAAGGAAAUUAAAUUGCUUUCUAGUUUUGCAUGGGCCUCACUGGGAACAAGAAAUACAGCAUACAUUAUACAAGCAACCUGAUUGUAGGCUUCUCAGUAUUUGUGGAAUGAAAAAAUUACUGUAGUUAGUCCAGAAGAGUGGCACAUCUCAAGGUAGUCCAUGAGUAAAAACAAAGCUACAUUUCCAAACCAGUGAAAACAGAUAUUCCCAAUUUGUUUCCAGAGAAAACUGUAUGUUUUCAAUAAAUUUUAGAACAGACAUUUUAAUAUGUGUCAGUGGUAUCAAAGCCCAAGCUCCUAUUGCAAACUUGGGACCACAGUGCUGCUACAGCCAGUAUCUUCAUAUCACUUUUAUUUUUUUUUCUUCUUUUAAAACCUUGUAUUACAAAGAUUUAUGAGUAUGCUAACCAUUAUGGUUUGUGAGAAGAUCCAUAGGCCCCAUAGCAUAUCAGAGCUGUUGCUUGAUAAUUAGUCUAGAGAGCUAAAAAAGAAUGUCACAGGCUGUCUUAUAGAGCAUGUUAGUAAUAUUUGUAGGUGUAAGUUUAAUAUUACUCAGUUACAUGUACAAAGCUUGCUUACUUGAGUGAAGUCUGCAGAACUACUUCCAAGAUAUCAGUAAUCACACCACCAGCAGAUACUAUAUGCAAUAUUAGUUUUACUAGAAUCUGAAGAGAUGUCAAUGUCUGCACAGGUGUCCUGGUUUAACCUGGACAGAGAUCAUUUUCUUCUCAGUUGCUGGUCCAGUGACUGCUGUAUUUUGUAUUUGCCAUACUAUUCUCAGUAUGAGAAUAAUAUUGAUAUUUGGAUGCUUUUGGUUGUUGCUCAGCAGUGCUCAUCCUAAGUCAAAGACUCUUCUGUGCUCUGUCAGCAAGGAGGUACACAAGAAGCUGGGGAGAAGCAUGUCCAGGACAUGGAUCUGAACUGGCCAAAGGGAUAUUCCGUACCACAGAGCAUCACAGGAUGUGACAUGCCAUGUUAAUAUGUAUGAACUACAGGUUCUGUAAAUGCUUAUGACUAAAAAUUCAAUUUACAGAUUCUAAGUGUGAAUGCAUAUGAAAGUACUCCAGUGACAAAGGGACAACUUCCUAGAAAAAAAAACUACGUUAUAUCCUUUCCCUACAAACCAGCUGAUAUGAGACGAAUUAUUAUUGUCAGUUCUUUAUUCCAACAGUUGUCUGUAUCUGAAUUUCAAAACCAUUUGUAUGCUGGUCUUUGUUAGGAGCAGUAAAUUCUUCUCUGUUGCCAAGAAAACCUUUUUUUGCAGUGAUUUGUCCACUUUCUUGCAUUGCACAUGCCUCCUGUACGUAAAAGAAGUUGAAAAUACUGCAAACAAUUGUCUCUGGAGAUCAUGAUCUCUGACCUUUAACUGCAUUUUACUACAGCUUAAAUUCCACAUUUUGUUCAGCAUAGGAUUCACACAAAAUUCUUCUAAAUAGGCUCUACCAUCUGCUAUUUAGAGCUGCUCCCAUUGUAAAAGCCUUUCCCCCCACAUUUCAUUGUUUUACAAGUAAAAUGUUACUGGUUGUAUUUUUAGAAUGUUUUAAUCCUUUGCAUCUUUAAUGAGAAGUGAACAUGCUAAUAGUCUGCUAUGCAUUUUCUUUCUAUGACUUUCUGCCAAACACAGCUAAACCAUCAGCCAAAACACUAAAGGUUUUUACGUUAAUACAAAUUUAAAUAGUGGGUUUGAAAAAUGCAGUUGUUUCAUAACAUUUUAGUUCCCAUCUACUCAACAAACAUAUACAAAGAAAGCAGAUACUUCUAGCUGUGAUAAUUUCUUGUUUUGACAGCUUGUGGCCAAAUCUCCUUUGGCUACUCUUGGAAGCAGUAGAAUUGUUAGUAGUCUCAAGCUCUAAGAAUGAAAAGGUUAAGAAGUGCUACUUAAUUAUACUAAGAAUCUGAUUUAAAAUGUAAGAUCUAAGUUUUCUUAUUCUGAAUGUGAUGUUAUAUAUUUGUUAUUUAGGCUGCACAGUUUGAAUAAAACCAAUUCAUUUUUUAUAGAAGUCAAAAAUGGUACAAAGCAUAUAAAUUAAAGCCUUUCAUAUUGUAUUUGAUAUUUAGAAUGAAGAGGAUGAAAAAAUAAAAGAAACAAACCAGAAAUAAACUACUUGAAGCUGUGGAA